CCUACGGGUGGCUGCAGUGGGGAAUAUUGGACAAUGGGGGGAACCCUGAUCCAGCCAUGCCGCGUGUGUGAAGAAGGCCCUCGGGUUGUAAAGCACUUUCAGUGAGGAAGAACGCCUGGUGGUUAAUACCCAUCAGUAAAGACAUCACUCACAGAAGCAGCACCGGCUAACUCCGUGCCAGCAGCCGCGGUAAUACGGAGGGUGCGAGCGUUAAUCGGAAUUACUGGGCGUAAAGCGCGCGUAGGUGGCUUGAUAAGCCGGUUGUGAAAGCCCCGGGCUCAACCUGGGAACGGCAUCCGGAACUGUCAAGCUAGAGUGCAGGAGGGGAAGGUAGAAUUCCCGGUGUAGCGGUGAAAUGCGUAGAGAUCGGGAGGAAUACCAGUGGCGAAGGCGGCCUUCUGGACUGACACUGACAUUGAGGUGCGAAAGCGUGGGUAGCAAACAGGAUUAGAUACCCUGGUAGUC
Molecule: ribosomal RNA, 465 nt
Filed under: Vreelandella stevensii
Lineage: Bacteria; Pseudomonadati; Pseudomonadota; Gammaproteobacteria; Oceanospirillales; Halomonadaceae
Description: partial 16S ribosomal RNA
Rfam family: Bacterial small subunit ribosomal RNA
Source: RNAcentral